UGUUGAGUGGUGUAAUGGUUUAGCAUAUCAGUCUUUGACACUGACGGUGUAGGUUCAACCCCUGCCUCAACAA
This 73-nucleotide transfer RNA is filed under the name Niastella soli. Its description in RNAcentral is "Niastella sp. MAH-29 tRNA-Gln". It matches the Rfam family "tRNA". From Rfam's summary of the family: Transfer RNA (tRNA) molecules are approximately 80 nucleotides in length. Their secondary structure includes four short double-helical elements and three loops (D, anti-codon, and T loops). Further hydrogen bonds mediate the characteristic L-shaped molecular structure. tRNAs have two regions of fundamental functional importance: the anti-codon, which is responsible for specific mRNA codon recognition, and the 3' end, to which the tRNAs corresponding amino acid is attached (by aminoacyl-tRNA synthetases). tRNAs cope with the degeneracy of the genetic code in two manners: having more than one tRNA (with a specific anti-codon) for a particular amino acid; and 'wobble' base-pairing, i.e. permitting non-standard base-pairing at the 3rd anti-codon position. Lineage: Bacteria; Pseudomonadati; Bacteroidota; Chitinophagia; Chitinophagales; Chitinophagaceae. The record is from RNAcentral.